Molecule: long non-coding RNA, 336 nt
Organism: Orcinus orca (killer whale)
Lineage: Eukaryota; Metazoa; Chordata; Mammalia; Artiodactyla; Delphinidae
Exons: 2
Source: RefSeq, a predicted model, not a curated record
CAUCAUUAACAUUUAUUGACCAGCGCGGCUGGAAUUUCCCAGAGAGAGGAAUUAAUCUCGCUACCAACUGAGAGCAGACAUCCUGCUGGGAGUAAAGAGAGUCCGAGGCUUUGCAGCCUCCGGAGCUCCUGACUCUCAGGGUUGCAAGCGUGGAAGGACCUCUCAGCUUCAUCCCCAGUCUUCCGUCCUCCUCUUUUUUCCAAGCUGCGGAGAAAAAUGCAAACAGCUGAAAUCGCCUCAGUAGUGCACCCAUUUCCUCCCAUCCCGCAAAAUGCCAGAUUAUGUCAUUCACAGGAGGAAGGAUUCUUUCAAUAAAGAUCUUUUGCUAAAAAAAAA